RNAcentral lists this ribosomal RNA (253 nucleotides) under uncultured bacterium. RNAcentral's name for it is "partial 16S ribosomal RNA". It matches the Rfam family "Bacterial small subunit ribosomal RNA", at positions 524 to 776 of the family's 1533-position model. The record is from RNAcentral.
UACAGAGGUCCCGAGCGUUGUUCGGAUUCAUUGGGCGUAAAGGGUGCGUAGGCGGCGGGGAAAGUCUGAUGUGAAAUCCUGGGGCUCAACCCUGGAACUGCAUUGGAUACUUCCUUGCUAGAGUACUGGAGAGGAAACUGGAAUUUACGGUGUAGCAGUGAAAUGCGUAGAGAUCGUAAGGAAGACCAGUGGCGAAGGCGAGUUUCUGGACAGUUCCUGACGCUGAGGCACGAAGGCCAGGGGAGCAAACGGG